AAAUUGAAGAGUUUGAUCAUGGCUCAGAUUGAACGCUGGCGGCAGGCCUAACACAUGCAAGUCGAACGGUAACAGGAAACAGCUUGCUGUUUCGCUGACGAGUGGCGGACGGGUGAGUAAUGUCUGGGAAACUGCCUGAUGGAGGGGGAUAACUACUGGAAACGGUAGCUAAUACCGCAUAAUGUCGCAAGACUAAAGAGGGGGACCUUCGGGCCUCUUGCCAUCGGAUGUGCCCAGAUGGGAUUAGCUAGUAGGUGGGGUAACGGCUCACCU
This 273-nucleotide ribosomal RNA is filed under the name Escherichia coli. RNAcentral's name for it is "partial 16S ribosomal RNA". It matches the Rfam family "Bacterial small subunit ribosomal RNA", at positions 1 to 270 of the family's 1533-position model. The record is from RNAcentral. RNAcentral also lists the same sequence under 1 other name. Lineage: Bacteria; Pseudomonadati; Pseudomonadota; Gammaproteobacteria; Enterobacterales; Enterobacteriaceae.